ACUUCAGAGCUGCCUCAUCACUAUGGACCUUCUGGAGAUUGCUGCGCUGUAGCUGACCCUUCUACGACCACCAAACCUGCUCUGCUCCUCUUGUGUUGGUGCUGUGCCCUUGGUGGCAACUAUAACUGGCUGCUGCUGGACUCAGGAUACGGGGCUCGCAGUGGCUUUGGUCUGACCCCUGUUCCUCUGACUGCAAAUUGGAAGGUUUUCCCCUCACUGAAGCUAUUAAUUGAAUUGGACCUCAGCUUGUAAAAUAUUGGAAAUUCAUCUUGUGGAGCAGGGAGAAAACCAACCCACAAGCCUUUCUCUGAAGAGCAUCUUGGAAUUAAAUGAAGAGACUUUUGUGGUGGGAUGUUUUAAUAUUCCUGACUGAUGUCCUGUAAAUGGCUGGUCCCACUGGAUGACAUCUGAAGACUUUUUUUUUUUCAGCCACUGGCUUAACAUCACCCCCUCAAAGCAGUCCGGCCUGUCCCUUAGCUGCCCAUGAAACCUAGGGGACAUCAUGGGACAGGGGACAACCUAAUGCAGACAAACAUGGACCCACUUGUCUUCCCUGUGCCAGAAAACUUUGUCUUCUAACCUACUGGUUUGCUCCUGUUUCCCUCUAUUGGAUUAGCAGCAAGACUUGGGGAGCUGCUUAAGGAGAUGAGGCGAGAGAAUGGGUCCUGAUUAUGUCUUCCCGAGCGGUUAUCAUCCCCCAGUUAUUCAUGUAGCCAUGAAUUAUUGAUGGUCUCCAGGCUCACUAACCAGGGGAUCUGGCUGGGGAGGAGAAGGUCUGAUGAAUAGGAAUCAGUGAUGUCUCUCAACAGCUCUAACUUCUGCAAAAUGAAGGAUGGAUGUAUUCUUUCCCCACUCAAACUCCAGCCUGGGAGAGGAGGAGGAAGAGGAGAAUGAAAGAUAAAAAGGGGAGAAGAAAGAAGGGAAAGCAAGAAGCCAGUAGCAUAGAGCCAUGAUCCAUUAUUCAUCCACUGUGCUCCCAGGAUUGGUUGUUAUUAUAAGGCACCACUACAGAAUCCGGUCUCCUAAUUUUUAAUCACGUAGAUGUAGAAGUGCUAGCCUUUCUGAUUAAUACAGGGCUAUAAAUAGGAAGAGUUGUUUGGGGCUGGGGCGGGGGUUAUUCCUGACAGCAAAGAAAAUGGAGUUAACCUUUACACGCCUGGGAAGUUUAAAAAGAGAAUGAAAGAGAAGGGAUCGAUGAUGGCUUAAGCCCACAAGAGUAGGAACAAGCCACAGAGAUGGAUGACAUGCUGCUGCUCAUGGGGUGGGAGUCCAGACAGAUUAUCCCCAAAUGGACAUUGCACUGAGACCUUCUGGGGUGGGAGGUGAAAAGCCCCAGCAGAAGGUCUCCUGUUCCUCACAGUGCACUCAGGACCUCAGCUGGAGAACUGUUCUUUUCUUCACUACAGACAAAACUUUCCAAAGAAACAAUGACAAGCUUCUCCCCAUCAAAACCCUGGUUUUCUGUCAAAACACAGGGCUUGCUGAGUAUUUUUAAACCAGCCUUGGACAGGCAUUAAUCUGUUCUCCGUAGCUGUGGGCUGCUUGGAAGAGUCAGGACAGCUUGGGGUCUCUGCUCCUUGCCCUUUGGUGUGCUUUGGGAAAAGCAUGUUUUACAGCACAUCAGCAUAAAGAAAUACAAAUAAAUGAGUGUUGCUCUUGGGCUGUGCAUUCAGCAACUUCUUAAAUUAGUUGGCUAGUUAGAGGCUUUCCUGCAUACAGUCCCACCCUGCAAGACUUAACUGUAUGAUAAAUCAAUGAGACCAUGCCGAAUUAUUCAGCGCUGAACUAAUACCCCAGGCUAACACUGCAGCUUUGGCUAAGAAAUAACAUAGGUGUCUCCAAACACUCCUGGCAGCUGGACGGUUGCGUGGUGAGCAGACAGAGCCUCAAUUAUUAGCAAUAUUUAUUGAGAUAACAGGAUCCUCCAGGCAGGAGUCAGCUCCUGGAAGUGGAGAAAGCAGAAAGCCCUCCAGCCACCAGCACUUCUUCCUAAUUAACACCAACUGGUUUUGUUUUGUUUGUUUUUUUUUCCUGUUGAUGUGGCUGGUACCUCCUUGCUGUUGGGUUUGUGUAACACCCCUCCUCUUCUUGGGACAGUGUUAAGAGAUUCAACUCCAAACGCUCACUGGUGGAGAAGGGCCACCCAGCUGCUGGGCUGGAGAGGCAGAUACCGAGCAGCCCCUGAGGAUUGUUCUGAGCCAUGCAUCUGCAAGUAAUGUUCAGCCGGUGUGAGACUCCGCACAAGUGUCCCCCGAGGAAUGAGAUCCCUUGGGUAAGAUAUCGCUGAUGCACUGCUCAUCUUCCCUACGGGGUCUGCGGCACUCAAGGCUCUGGGCUCAUCUUACAUGUGUGUUAAGCAAAUAACAGUGACCCAGAAGAUGCUCUUGGUGAUCACAAACCGUUGGGAGGUGUUUUCUA
Gymnogyps californianus (California condor) is the source of this 2418-nucleotide long non-coding RNA. RefSeq lists it as uncharacterized. The record is from RefSeq and is a predicted model, not a curated record. The transcript has 3 exons. NCBI's taxonomy places the organism in Eukaryota, Metazoa, Chordata, Aves, Accipitriformes, Cathartidae.